This 91-nucleotide transfer RNA is filed under the name Chthonomonas sp. RNAcentral describes it as "tRNA-Ser". It matches the Rfam family "tRNA". From Rfam's summary of the family: Transfer RNA (tRNA) molecules are approximately 80 nucleotides in length. Their secondary structure includes four short double-helical elements and three loops (D, anti-codon, and T loops). The record is from RNAcentral. Lineage: Bacteria; Bacillati; Armatimonadota; Chthonomonadia; Chthonomonadales; Chthonomonadaceae.
GGAGAGAUGGCUGAGUGGACGAAAGCGCCCGCCUGCUAAGUGGGUAGGGGAUUAUUUCCCCUCUCGGGUUCGAAUCCCGAUCUCUCCGCCA